RNAcentral lists this ribosomal RNA (463 nucleotides) under Paenibacillus sp. R-42367. RNAcentral describes it as "bacterial SSU rRNA". It matches the Rfam family "Bacterial small subunit ribosomal RNA", at positions 28 to 470 of the family's 1533-position model. Lineage: Bacteria; Bacillati; Bacillota; Bacilli; Caryophanales; Paenibacillaceae. The record is from RNAcentral.
GACGAACGCUGGCGGCAUGCCUAAUACAUGCAAGUCGAGCGGAGUUGAUAGGAAGCUUGCUUCCUUGAUACUUAGCGGCGGACGGGUGAGUAACACGUAGGCAACCUGCCCUCAAGUUUGGGACAACUACCGGAAACGGUAGCUAAUACCGAAUARUUGUUUUCUUCGCCUGAAGRRAACUGGAAAGACGGAGCAAUCUGUCACUUGGGGAUGGGCCUGCGGCGCAUUAGCUAGUUGGUGAGGUAACGGCUCACCAAGGCGACGAUGCGUAGCCGACCUGAGAGGGUGAUCGGCCACACUGGGACUGAGACACGGCCCAGACUCCUACGGGAGGCAGCAGUAGGGAAUCUUCCGCAAUGGGCGAAAGCCUGACGGAGCAAUGCCGCGUGAGUGAUGAAGGUUUUCGGAUCGUAAAGCUCUGUUGCCAGGGAAGAACGCUUGGGAGAGUAACUGCUCUCAAGGU